GGACAAACUUGGCCUCCACAUCCCACGGCUCUCAGUCCCAGACUGCUCACUUUCGCUCUGCCCUGCUCCCCAUCCGUCUUCUCCAACCAAGCCCGGAGCAGGAGGAGCUCAGGAAAUGCGUGGAGGACGAAUGAAUGAAGAUGGCACAGACUCUGGAGCCCAGAAAGUCACCACCGCUCGCCCAGGACUUCUAGUGGGUAGGCAUCAAACUGCAAGUGCGAGUGGUAAGAAAAAGAAAAGGAGUCAGAAGAGGUAUCCCAUUGUGAACUAGAGCACAUGAAUAAUCUUGGGGGUUUUCAAAGUGAAGCCACUAGCUGAGUUUGGAGGCAGGGGUUGAGAGAGCUCAACUGCUCCACACAAUAAAGCAGGAAAGAUCAUUCUGAGGUGGCUGGGGAGCAGCAGCGAGGCCCAGCAACGUGCAGAAGCCUGCUGUGGAUGGCGUCCAGGUGUGAGCGCGGAGCGGCAGUUGAUAGCCUGAAAG
RNAcentral lists this long non-coding RNA (481 nucleotides) under Equus asinus (donkey). Its description in RNAcentral is "lncRNA (ENSEASG00005027367.1)". Lineage: Eukaryota; Metazoa; Chordata; Mammalia; Perissodactyla; Equidae. The record is from RNAcentral.